UAACGGCGAGUGAAGCGGCAACAGCUCAAAUUUGAAAUCUGGCGUCUUUAGGUGCCCGAGUUGUAAUUUGCAGAGGAUGCUUUCGGCGACGUGCCUUCCGAGUUCCCUGGAAUGGGACGCCAUAGAGGGUGAGAGCCCCGUACGGUCUGGUGCCGAGCCGCUGUAAAGCUCCUUCGACGAGUCGAGUAGUUUGGGAAUGCUGCUCUAAAUGGGAGGUAAACUCCUUCUAAAGCUAAAUAUUGGCCAGAGACCGAUAGCGCACAAGUAGAGUGAUCGAAAGAUGAAAAGCACUUUGAAAAGAGAGUUAAAUAGCACGUGAAAUUGUUGAAAGGGAAGCGCUCAUGACCAGACUUGAGCUUGGUGGUUCAGCCGUUCGUUUGGGCGGUGCACUCUGCCGGUUCAGGCCAGCAUCAGUUGUCGGUUGGGGAGAAAGAUGGUGGGAAUGUGGCUCUUCGGAGUGUUAUAGCCCGCUAUUAUGCCCUCCUGGCGACUGAGGUUAGCGUUCUUCACGGAUGCUGGCGUAAUGGUUAUUAGCGACCCGUCUUGAAACACGGACCAAGGAGUCGUCCUGCUAUGCGAGUGUUUGGGUGCCAAACCCCUACGCGAAAUGAAAGUGAACGGAGGUGAGAGCUUCGGCGCAUCAUCGACCGAUCCUGAAGUUUACGGAUGGAUUUGAGUAAGAGCAUAGCGGGCCGGACCCGAAAGAAGGUGAACUAUGCUUGGAUAGGGCAAAGCCAGAGGAAACUCUGGUGGAGGCUCGCAGCGGUUCUGACGUGCAAAUCGAUCGUCAAAUCUGAGCAUGGGGGCGAAAGACUAAUCGAACCUUCUAGUAGCUGGUUUCCACCGAAGUUUCCCUCAGGAUAGCAGUGCUGAUUCUCAGUUUUAUGAGGUAAAGCGAAUGAUUAGGGACUCGGGGGCGCUAUUUAGCCUUCAUCCAUUCUCAAACUUUAAAUAUGUAAGA
RNAcentral lists this ribosomal RNA (961 nucleotides) under Tinhaudeus formosanus. RNAcentral describes it as "eukaryotic LSU rRNA". It matches the Rfam family "Eukaryotic large subunit ribosomal RNA", at positions 84 to 1078 of the family's 3401-position model. Lineage: Eukaryota; Fungi; Ascomycota; Sordariomycetes; Microascales; Halosphaeriaceae. The record is from RNAcentral.